RNAcentral lists this ribosomal RNA (256 nucleotides) under uncultured bacterium. Its description in RNAcentral is "partial 16S ribosomal RNA". It matches the Rfam family "Bacterial small subunit ribosomal RNA", at positions 521 to 776 of the family's 1533-position model. The record is from RNAcentral.
UAAUACGGAGGGUGCAAGCGUUAUCCGGAUUCACUGGGUUUAAAGGGUGUGUAGGCGGGCUAUUAAGUCAGUGGUGAAAUCUCCGAGCUUAACUUGGAAACUGCCAUUGAUACUAUUAGUCUUGAAUUCUGUUGAGGUUGGCGGAAUAUAUCAUGUAGCGGUGAAAUGCAUAGAUAUGAUAUAGAACCCCGAUUGCGAAGGCAGCUAACUAAGCAGAUAUUGACGCUGAGGCACGAAAGCGUGGGGAUCAAACAGG